AAAUUGAAGAGUUUGAUCAUGGCUCAGAUUGAACGCUGGCGGCAGGCCUAACACAUGCAAGUCGAGCGGAAACGAGUUGUCAGAACCUUCGGGGGACGAUAACGGCGUCGAGCGGCGGACGGGUGAGUAAUACCUAGGAAAUUGCCCUGAUGUGGGGGAUAACCAUUGGAAACGAUGGCUAAUACCGCAUGAUGCCUUUGGGCCAAAGAGGGGGACCUUCGGGCCUCUCGCGUCAGGAUAUGCCUAGGUGGGAUUAGCUAGUUGGUGAGGUAAGGGCUCACCAAGGCGACGAUCCCUAGCUGGUCUGGGAGGAUGAUCAGCCACAC
RNAcentral lists this ribosomal RNA (326 nucleotides) under Vibrio parahaemolyticus. RNAcentral describes it as "bacterial SSU rRNA". It matches the Rfam family "Bacterial small subunit ribosomal RNA", at positions 1 to 313 of the family's 1533-position model. The record is from RNAcentral. Lineage: Bacteria; Pseudomonadati; Pseudomonadota; Gammaproteobacteria; Vibrionales; Vibrionaceae.